CCCACUGAAAUUUUCAGUUUAUAAUUCUUUAUUCUUUCUCUUAACUUCUUAAAAACACAAACCACACUAAGAACUUUGCAGAGGAUAAUAGAUCUGGUUUUAUUUUUCACUUACCUUCUUUUCUUCUCCGCCGAAGAAGUUUGCAUAGGUUCGCUUCUCUUACCCUGUCUCCAUCUUGUCUGAUCAAAAGGAGUCAAUCGAAGGAGCUAAAGGAGGAAACUUUCGGGUGAAUCCAGACUUUUUCUUUGUAUUCACUACUGUGAUUAAAAAAAAUAAAUUUGAUUUUCUUUAGUUUCAAUUUCUUAGGGUUUACUCAAAAGUUUUAUUUUCUUUAAUUUUUUGAGGGAUUGUGUUAUGGAUUUUUUGUUUAAUUUCUUAGUGUUUGUGUUAUAGAUUCAUGGUUUAGAAAUGAAAUCUGGAAAUGGGUUUCUGUUGAUGGAACUAAAAAAAUUGUGGUUUCAAUUUUGAAUUUCUUA
This is a long non-coding RNA of Papaver somniferum (opium poppy), 476 nucleotides long. RefSeq lists it as uncharacterized. The transcript is spliced from 3 exons. Lineage: Eukaryota; Viridiplantae; Streptophyta; Magnoliopsida; Ranunculales; Papaveraceae. The record is from RefSeq and is a predicted model, not a curated record.